UCAGGAUGAACGCUAGCGGCAGGCUAACACAUGCAAGGUCGAGGGGCAGGCGCGGGGUAGCAAUACUCUGGCGGCGACCGGCGAAAGGGUGAGUAACGCGUGAGCAACGUGCCCGUAUGUGGGGGAUAGUCAUUGAAAUGAUGCGUAAUACCCCGUAACACAUCUCCUCGCAUGAGGUAAUGUUGAAAGAUUUAUUGCAUACGGAUCGGCUCGCGUGCCAUUAGGUAGACGGCGGGGUAACGGCCCACCGUGCCGACGAUGGCUAGGGGUUCUGAGAGGAAGGUCCCCCACAUUGGAACUGAGACACGGUCCAGACUCCCACGGGAGGCAGCAGUGAGGAAUAUUGGACAAUGGCCGGAAGGCUGAUCCAGCCAUGCCGCGUGCGGGAAGACGGCCCUAUGGGUUGUAAACCGCUUUUGCGGGGGAGCAAUAAGGUGCACGGGUGCACCGAUGAGAGUACCCUGCGAAUAAGCAUCGGCUAACUCCGUGCCAGCAGCCGC
RNAcentral lists this ribosomal RNA (500 nucleotides) under uncultured bacterium. RNAcentral describes it as "bacterial SSU rRNA". It matches the Rfam family "Bacterial small subunit ribosomal RNA", at positions 24 to 518 of the family's 1533-position model. The record is from RNAcentral.